Molecule: ribosomal RNA, 381 nt
Filed under: uncultured eukaryote
Lineage: Eukaryota
Description: partial 18S ribosomal RNA
Rfam family: Eukaryotic small subunit ribosomal RNA
Source: RNAcentral
CAAUAGCGUAUAUUAAAGCUGUUGCGGUUAAAAAGCUCGUAGUUGGAUUUCUGUCAAGGACAACUGGUCCGCCCUCCGGGUGAGCACAUAGUUUGGUCUUGGCAUCUUGCUGGAAACUGUUGCUGCGCUUGGUUGUGUGGUGCAGCUUUCAGCACUUUCACUUUGAGGAAAUUGGAGUGUUUCAAGCAGGCACAUGCCUUUGGACACAGUAGCAUGGAAUAAUUAGAUUGGGCUUUUGCUCCAACUUGUUGGUUCCUGGAGCUGAGGUGAGAAUCAAUGGGGAUUGUUGGGGGCAUCCGAAUUUAGCCGUCAGAGGUGAAAUUCUUGGAUCUGCUAAAGACGGACAACUGCGAAAGCGUUUGCCCAGGAUGGUUUCAUUGA